Molecule: long non-coding RNA, 1277 nt
Filed under: Rattus norvegicus (Norway rat)
Lineage: Eukaryota; Metazoa; Chordata; Mammalia; Rodentia; Muridae
Description: long non-coding RNA NONRATT020353
Source: RNAcentral
UUCAAACCCCUGGUGUUCCAGCCAGGGUUCUUAUGUUUCACCAUAGUACAUUAAUGUGACUCUUCAAUACCGUAGGAAAGGAUAUGGAUAGCAGAAAAAAGAGGAGGGGGGACGUAGCGUUUGAAAAUAUUGUGUCUCUCUUAUACCCUGUUCUAAGAGAUUUCUUGAAAAAGUACAAUUUACAAUAUGUUUAAAGUUCCAAAAUCUCUCCAAAAUGAUACAUAGUUCUCUAAGUCCAUAACUUUCUGUGUUCUGUGUUCACCAGUUGUUUCCCCAAGUAUUCCAAGACUUUAUUCCUUUAAACUUUACUCCUUCUCCGUGGUGAUUGUAAUGGCCUACCCUGAUGUCCUAGUUAGGGUUUUACUGCUGUGAACAGACACCAUGACCAAGGCAACUCUUAUAAAGACCACAUUUAAUUGGGGCUGGCUUACAGGUCCAGAGGUUCAGUCCAUUAUCAUCAAGGCAGGAAUAUAUCAGUAUCCAGGCAGGCAUGGUGCAGGAGGAGCUGAGAGUUUUACAUCUUUAUCCGAAGGCUGCUAGUGGAAGAUUGAUUUCCAGCCAGCUGGCGUGAGGGUCUUAAGCUCAUGCCCACAGUGACACCUACUCCAACAGGGCCACAUCUCCAAAUAGUGUCACUUCCUGGGCCAAGCAUAUCCAAACCACCACAUCUGUGGAAGAGGAAUAAAGAUGCAAAUGCUAAGGUUCCCUUGUAUUGGAGGGGCUGCUUUGGGGCUAGUAACCCAAAUAACCAUGGCAUCUUCCAUUUAUUAAAGAUUAAAGACAAUCACAAGUAGUUAUGUAGAUGUUAAAGAAAACCAUGGAUUUUGUUACUAUUGGUUCUUAAAUUUUAAAAUUCUUUUGUUUCAGGAUGAGGAUUCAUUCAUGAAAUUUGUAAGUGAUGAUAUUCAUCAGUGUACACUACUAACAGCUGAUUCUAUUGGUGACCCAUUCUUUCCUCGGACUACACAGAUUUUAUUGGAGUAUCAGCUAGGAAGAUGGGUACCACGCCUUCGAGAACCACGAGAUUUAUAUGGCGUCUCUUCUUCUGGUCCGCUGAGCCCAACACGGUGGCCAUACCACUGUGAGGUCAUUGAUGAAAAAGUCCAGCAUAUUGGUAUGUUUUUAGAAGUUAGGGGAUUCAGACAUUAGCAAACGUAUCAAUCUUGAUGUUAAUGAGGACACUAAUGAUGUAACAACUGUAUUCCAGAAGUAUAACAUAAGCCAUGUAUAUAAUAAAAAAUGUCCUGCUAGCUAUACAAGUUUAAAAGUGGAAUUAC